AUACUUCAGCUCUUCAAGGGUUAACAGUCUACAGUAAAAGGCUUCAAUAGUAACAGUCUACGUCCAGUACUAAGUAUUAAAAAAUAGUAACAGUCCACGUCCAGUACUAAGUAUUGAAAUUAAGUAUGAGGGGUCAUUUCGAAAGACACUGCUUCGAGUUUGGUUGUGGUGAAGGGCCGGGACCUCACCGGAAAAUGCACGGGCCGUGUCACGGUCCAGGUCAUCACGGACCCCCUGGAUUUGGACCUUGGGGUCACCAUGGACAUCAUGGACAUCAUGGACACCAUGGGCAUCACGGUCACCACGGUCACGGACCAUGGGGUCGGAAGCAUCACGGACACGGAGGACCUUUCGGCCACCACGGGCACGGACCUUUCGGCCAUCACGGACCGUUCCCCUGGUCUCAUCACGGAUUUGGACCAAAACCACCACAUCACGGUCACGGACAUCACGGCCCAGGCCCACACGGUCCUCACGACAAAUUCGAGCGUCACGGUCUUUUCAACUUCAUGUGGUCAAAGCCUGGUAAAGACUGCAGUGACAGAUGCACCCGUGGAAGGAACCCUCCCAGCCCUGCAGAGGAAACCAGACCUUGCUGCUCGAAGGAUAAGAACCAACCUGAAGCGACGAUAUUUGUGAGAAAGAUUGUGAUGGACAAAGAACCGAGAUGUUAUUCUGUUUGAAGUGAUGACAGACAGAAUCACUUUGAAUCAGUAUAUUAUCGAGGUUUUAAACCAAAAAAAGGAAUCAUGCACGCAUCAGGAUACGAAGAACCAUAGUUCUUGGCCAUAGCCAAGGCCAUGGGGCCAAUGGAGAAGAAUUUGAAGAAUAAAGAAGAUCCAGUCACAAGGAUAGAUAUUAGAAGAUGUAUCUACAAAUAAAGGAUGCACAGGAUAAAAGUGAAGAAAUGGAGUUCAUUAAGCAUUUAACCAAUAAAUAUAAAAUUGAAAACU
Molecule: long non-coding RNA, 953 nt
Organism: Ostrinia nubilalis (European corn borer)
Lineage: Eukaryota; Metazoa; Arthropoda; Insecta; Lepidoptera; Crambidae
Exons: 2
Source: RefSeq, a predicted model, not a curated record